AAAGUGGCGUACGCGACGGCCAUGGACUGGUUCAUCGCGGUGUGCUACGCCUUC
Regulatory RNA element from Camelus ferus (Wild Bactrian camel), 54 nucleotides. It matches the Rfam family "Editing element of GABA-3 exon 9". NCBI's taxonomy places the organism in Eukaryota, Metazoa, Chordata, Mammalia, Artiodactyla, Camelidae. The record is from Rfam.